GCAGGGGUGUCCUCACAGCAUGCAGGGUGUGGGUGUGACCCUCCCUGCUUGGUCCUGUCUCCCUCUGCUUCCAGGAUGGUGGAGGAGGUGACAGAAGUGGCUGUGCCCGACGCCCAGGCUGCCAUCAGUGCCUAUGCCAGGGGUCUGGGUGCCCUGCCAGCCCUGUUCCAGGGGUGUGCUCAGCAUUCCCCCACAGAUGGGCACUCAGCUGUGCAGGGGGCUGGCAGCCUCUUCACUCUCACCGUGGAGCGGGAGCUGGGGGGUGGCAGGCACCAGCGCUCGGCCCUCAGGAUCCUGCUGUCCCCAGGGGCCGGCGGGCCCUGCCCCAGGCCGUACGUACAGGGCUGAGCUCUGCUCCCCCUCCAGCACUCCCUGUGCCUGCUGAGGGCCAGGGAAUUCCAUCCCUGCAGGUGAAGCAGGAGGGACACCCCAGUGGGAGCCCUGGCUGGGGGCCAAGGGGGUGUCACUGCUCCUUGGGGAUAUGUGGGGCCAACCCAUCCCUGGGUCCCUGCCUGGCCUGGUAAGAGCCAGCUCUCUCCUGGGGUGUCUCCCCACGUGCAGGGAACCUGGAGCUGUCUGCCUGCCCUGGAUCGUGGAGCGACUGCUGGAGGGGAACAGCCUGACCUUCCUGCUGCUGUGUGUGUCACUGCCAGGACAGGGUGACAGCAGAAGCCAGGAAGGGGACAGCCAAGCUCUGGCCAGCACAGGGCUGCUGGAGGAGCCAUCCCAGAGCAAAGUGUCACAGCCACGGCCCGGGUGUGACAGCGUGAGUGGGAGCCCGCAGGGUCCCUGCACAGGGCCAGCUCUACUGCCAGCACUGGUGCCACCGAGCCCCUCUCCUCCCCUGCAGGCUGGGAGGCGGUGCCAGCCGUGCCCACUCCCGGAGGUGCAGCGGGCCCUGGCCAGGGCACGGCGGCAGCGGCUGCGGGCUCAGCACUGCCGGCAGCGCCAGCGGGAGCUCGGGGCCGGCUCUGUGCCAGCCCGGGAGCACAGCGGAGAGCGGGACACAGAGCGCUGGCAGCGGGAGGUGACCGCGCUGGGCCUGAGCCUGGAGGCAGCGCUGCGGGAGCGGGAGGCGGCCGAGUGGGAGCUGGAGGCUCUGCUGCUCAACCACCACCGGGAGAUGCAGGGCUGCCGACAGCACCUGCUGCAGGUGGGCAGGCCGGGCUGGGGACACCUCUCCCUCUCACACUGUGCCAGGGCUGUGCAGGGCUGUGCCAGACCGCCCCGGGCACCCCCAGGUGCUCCGGGACCAGCAGCGCCUGGCGGAGGAGCAGCGGGCGGGCCUGGAGCGCCGGCACCGGGAGCGGCUGCAGGAGGCGCUGCGGGAACUCGCCGAGCACAAGCAGCUCCUGAGGGACACCCCACGGGCAGGCACGGCCGGUGCCACCUCACAGACACCCUGAGGCACGGCCGGGCGUGGGGACAGCUGGCCUGGCACGACUGGGUCCCUGCACCGAGCCAGCAGCCAUGCCAGGAUACCGGGCAGCCCCAGGCACAGGAGUUAUCCCAGGCCUCUGGCUGUGCUCCCGAGGGAAAGCCUGCUCUGUGCUGGGACCCUGCCUGUGGGAGCACAGCUCAGCCUGCUGGGAGGCAGGCUUUGUUCUCCACACAGAAUAAAGUGGGUGCUCCUCAGCCGUGAGUGGUGUCAGGCUCAGACACACCCUGG
Junco hyemalis (dark-eyed junco) is the source of this 1669-nucleotide long non-coding RNA. NCBI's taxonomy places the organism in Eukaryota, Metazoa, Chordata, Aves, Passeriformes, Passerellidae. The record is from Ensembl.